RNAcentral lists this long non-coding RNA (589 nucleotides) under Vigna radiata. RNAcentral describes it as "long non-coding RNA (VRAD_LNC002700)". Lineage: Eukaryota; Viridiplantae; Streptophyta; Magnoliopsida; Fabales; Fabaceae. The record is from RNAcentral.
GCACUAAACUGUUGUGCUUUUGCUUAACCAAUCAAGACUAUAAAAAUGAUAUUUUGGGAUUUUUCAAUAUAAAGUGCAGAAAAAUAAACAUGAAUGCAAUUUGAUCAAUUGAGGUUAAACACAAAACAAUGGAUGAAUGGAUGUUGUUGAGUACUAACAAUUUCAUCUAUUCCACUCUCUCUUACAUACUACCCUUGAAUAUUAGAUUGAUUCAAUUGUUAUGUGACUUUCUUAGCUUCCCCUUAACCCGAUCCCACGGUGAAAAGGGCCUAAUAUUAACUACUGGCUUGCUAUCCCUAGCCUCCCCUAGUAAUUAAUACCGCAUUAUAAACAGAAGUUAGCGCAAUUGAUCGUCCUACCCCUAUCCCUAGGUGGUAUUGCAAAAUCAAGAGAUUACUCACCAGUUCAUGUCAUUACUGCACGUCCCCAUGUGAAUAACGACAAACAACAAUAUACCGAAUGAGUUAAACGGUAAAGGCCUUAAGCACAGAUGAUAACCCAACAAUAAUCAAUCAAAACAUAUGGAGACCAUAUAAAUAAUCAAUAGUUUCAAUAAGAGAGAGUAUCAAGAGAUUACAUUGAAUUCCCC